RNAcentral lists this ribosomal RNA (1334 nucleotides) under Echria gigantospora. Its description in RNAcentral is "LSU rRNA". It matches the Rfam family "Eukaryotic large subunit ribosomal RNA", at positions 33 to 1400 of the family's 3401-position model. The record is from RNAcentral. Lineage: Eukaryota; Fungi; Ascomycota; Sordariomycetes; Sordariales; Schizotheciaceae.
CUUAAGCAUAUCAAUAAGCGGAGGAAAAGAAACCAACAGGGAUUGCCCUAGUAACGGCGAGUGAAGCGGCAACAGCUCAAAUUUGAAAUCUGGCCUCGGCCCGAGUUGUAAUUUGCAGAGGAAGCUUCUGGCGCGGCGCUGUCCGAGUCCCCUGGAACGGGGCGCCAUAGAGGGUGAGAGCCCCGUAUGGAUGGAUGCCUAGCCUGUGUGAAGCUCCUUCGACGAGUCGAGUAGUUUGGGAAUGCUGCUCAAAAUGGGAGGUAAAUUCCUUCUAAAGCUAAAUAUUGGCCAGAGACCGAUAGCGCACAAGUAGAGUGAUCGAAAGAUGAAAAGCACUUUGAAAAGAGGGUUAAAUAGCACGUGAAAUUGUUGAAAGGGAAGCGCUUGUGACCAGACUUGCGCCAGGCUGAUCAUCCGGUGUUCUCACCGGUGCACUCUGCCUGGCUCAGGCCAGCAUCGGUUUCAGCGGGGGGAUAAAGGCCUAGGGAACGUAGCUCCCCCGGGAGUGUUAUAGCCCUGGGUGCAAUGCCCCCGCCGGGACCGAGGUUCGCGCAUCUGCUAGGAUGCUGGCGUAAUGGUCAUCAGCGACCCGUCUUGAAACACGGACCAAGGAGUCAAGGUUUUGCGCGAGUGUUUGGGUGUUAAACCCGCACGCGUAAUGAAAGUGAACGUAGGUGAGAGCUUCGGCGCAUCAUCGACCGAUCCUGAUGUAUUCGGAUGGAUUUGAGUAGGAGCGUUAAGCCUUGGACCCGAAAGAUGGUGAACUAUGCUUGGAUAGGGUGAAGCCAGAGGAAACUCUGGUGGAGGCUCGCAGCGGUUCUGACGUGCAAAUCGAUCGUCAAAUCUGAGCAUGGGGGCGAAAGACUAAUCGAACCAUCUAGUAGCUGGUUACCGCCGAAGUUUCCCUCAGGAUAGCAGUGUUGUUCUUCAGUUUUAUGAGGUAAAGCGAAUGAUUAGGGACUCGGGGGCGAUUUUUAGCCUUCAUCCAUUCUCAAACUUUAAAUAUGUAAGAAGCCCUUGUUACUUAGUUGAACGUGGGCAUUCGAAUGUACCAACACUAGUGGGCCAUUUUUGGUAAGCAGAACUGGCGAUGCGGGAUGAACCGAACGCGGGGUUAAGGUGCCGGAGUGGACGCUCAUCAGACACCACAAAAGGCGUUAGUACAUCUUGACAGCAGGACGGUGGCCAUGGAAGUCGGAAUCCGCUAAGGACUGUGUAACAACUCACCUGCCGAAUGUACUAGCCCUGAAAAUGGAUGGCGCUCAAGCGUCCCACCCAUACCCCGCCCUCAGGGUAGAAACGAUGCCCUGAGGAGUAGGCGGCCGUGGAGGUCA